Non-coding RNA from Phascolarctos cinereus (koala), 230 nucleotides. The record is from RefSeq and is a predicted model, not a curated record. NCBI's taxonomy places the organism in Eukaryota, Metazoa, Chordata, Mammalia, Diprotodontia, Phascolarctidae.
CAAGCACGGAUCAGGAGAACCAGGGAGAAGAGUGGGUGCUGCAUGUAUCCCUAAUAAGACUGAAGGUAUGAGCUUGAGAUACAUUACAAGGACUGGAAACUCCCAUCUUCUCAUUCUCUGUCAUCAGACCUCCUAACAUCAAAGAAAGGGGAAGGAGGUACCAUUUGGCUUGGAUGGUGAACAUCGGUGAGCCCUGACUGCUGAAGGAUGCCGAUUUCUGUCGGCAGUGA